GGAAAGGGGAUGCUGAGGAGAAGGAGUUACUGGGAGAACAUCCCAUCUGGCACAGUAAGACAGCGAUUCUGGAAAGCAGCCCCAGUGAACCCAGGCAGCAACACCCGUUUCAGGCACCCUGGAGGCAAGAGAACGGUGCAGGAAGUGUUGGGUCCAUGCCAAUGACUCUCCUGGCCUACUGGACUGCUUCUCCUGGGAGAAGAACUGUCCAUUUGUGUUCUCACUGUAGAGAUGUGAAGGUCAACCUGGGUCUCAUCGAAGUGGAAACCCUGGCUGUGGCUUCCUAAGGCCUGCCCCUCUGCGUGGCCCAGGGUGCAGUGCUGGCUCACUAGACACUCCUCAGGAACUCAGUCCUCCCAGACUCUUUGGGGAGCACUCGCUCAGCACCACACUCCCGCCGGACCCCCAAGAGGAUCAACGGGGGAGGAACCCACCCUGCCCUGCUGGGGAGCAAGGGAGGCCAGCCAGCAGGCAGACUAACACAGCCACUUGAUGUUCCAGGGCAAGAUGAAGAGGAUGGUCAGGACACCGUGUGUGGGGGGGAGCAGUCACAGAGCGUUCGUCAGGAACCACAGAAACCACAGGUCAGGGAUGGGGCCAGAGAUGCUAGUGAAGACUCUGAACCCAAGUGUCAGUUGGUUGGGACUGGGGGUGUGGUUCAGAGUAAAGAGGGGGCAAGCCAAAGCUCCCAUGCGUUGUCCUUGUGUAGUGUCCAGAUGGUGGAAAGCAGAGCUCAGGCUGGCCAGACUCCCAGCAAGCCAGUGCAGAGUGGGACAGAGGCCUGGGACAGGCUGGUGCCCCCUGGAGGCAGGCAGUGUGGCCGGCAGCAUAGGCUGAGCUGAGCAGGGUGCUGAAGGCUGAGAAGUCCCUGGUAGCUUUCCCAGAAAGCAGCCAGGCAAUUGGGGAACUCGGGAACCUGGCGAGGGAAACUUGAUUGAGGCUGUCGAGACGUGGCUGCACGGAGUGAGAAGGUGGGGUGGCCGCCAGGCAGCAGUGGGUCAGGGCCCGUGGCAGCAGGAACUGGCCGUCCUCAGAGCUUCUCUUCGGUCUGCUCCUUCACUCCCUGUCCUUGGACUUGGUGUGGACCUGGUGACUGUGCCUC
Molecule: long non-coding RNA, 1102 nt
Filed under: Marmota monax (woodchuck)
Lineage: Eukaryota; Metazoa; Chordata; Mammalia; Rodentia; Sciuridae
Source: RNAcentral